AUUGGACCUCAUCGGCAAACGCGUGCACAUCCUCUACGCCGUCUCCUCCGCAGCGCACAACCUUGUUACCUGCACGUGAGGCCCACACACAGACACACCUCCCGCCGUGUCCCCUCCCCCCUCCCUCUCCCUCUCCCCCGUUACCUUGUGCCGCCUCGACGCGCCGUCUUCGUCUUCGAUUUCGCGCCCGCGUGUGGGGCGCGUGGCCCUUUGCCUUCCCUUUACGUCCAUGAACGAUGCUUCCGCGUCAAUGCAGUGGUGAGCUGUACCAGGUGCUGGAGCUCGAUGCGCAGUGCACCACGGCUGAGAUUUCGCAGCAGUACCGCCGCCUCGCCCUGCGCUACCACCCAGACCGCAAUGCAGGUGCAACUGUCGAGCAGUUCCAGCGGAUCGAGGAGGCGCACCGCGUCCUCAGCGAUCUGCGACAGCGUCAGCUGUACGACACCGUCGGUCGUGAAGGCCUGAAGCAGCUCGGCGACUACGGCGGUGGAAUGCUAGGCAGCCUGCUGCUCGCCGUCGGCAACGUUGCCGCAGGAUGUCUCCUCCUCGGCUUCAUGACGGCGGCGCUGUUUACCUCGCUGCUCAUCAGCUGCUACAAAAUUGACGCUCCACGCGAGUGGCCCUCGUGGGGUGUCGUGCUCAUCCCUGUCUGGUGCUUCCUGCCGGUGUUGCUGCUGGCCAGCCUCACGGUGAUGACGACGAGUGUGCGCCGUGGCAUGUACAUCCUGCUGCUCCCCAGUGCACGCCUUCUUCUUUGCGUCGUCAUCGCGGCGACAACGGCGGCCGCGCUCGAUCACCGCAUCGCCCCUCUCACCGCCUUCAUUCCGUGGCUGAUUUGGUACGUCCUGGGUACGGUGAGCGACCUCGCAAUGCUGGUGCCGACAGUGUACUCGCGCACGCGCACGCCCUUGUUCGGUGAGGGGAGAGCCGCCGGCGUCCGUGGCAAUCAUCGCACGAACACCUCGGUCGAGGAUCCGUUCCUGCGGCCUGGCAGUGGCCACGGUGAGGCCAGCAGCAUCGACGAAUCGGAGGCGACUCACAGCAGCGGCGCCGAGGGCGGUUUCGGCAAUGACUCCUUUCUCUCGCAGCCGUGGAAGACGGCGCGGUACUGGCGCGAGGUGGCCGAGGUGUUGUUCGAGGCGGUGUGCGUGUACGCCUUCCUUGCCUUGGCGUUUAGACGCGCCAUGCAGCAGCAGGCGCAUCUCGGAAGCCUGUAUUCGCUUCCGCAAAGCAGGGGCGCCGCCGGCGACAGAACCGGUGCCGCGCCUCCCGUGCUGAGCUUUUGGGUAAUUCUCGCGCCGCUGAUGACGUACUUCGGCGUACAUGUGCUCAUCAGCAUGCUCGAGGGCUCUUUCGUGGAGUCGACGGUGGCCACAACGCCACCGUCUCCAGAGGAGACGCCCGUCGCACGAAGCACGAGCACCAACGCGGCGGCCCCAUCGUCAUCGCAGCAGCAGUGCGCGCACCCUUGCCAUGUCAGCUGCAGGGAGCGCGUCGCCAACGUCAUUGUUCGCGCCUUCCCGUCGGCGUGUGGAUUGUACAUGACGUGCAUGUGGGCGCUGAAGGAAGAGUACGAGUACAACAAGCGCACCGGCGGCCCCGAUCCGUCGGCGUUCCUUGCCUUUCUCCCCAUCCUUGUCGUUCUCGGGGCCUUGGCCUUCCUUGUCUGCUGCGGCGGAUGUGUGGUGAUGUGCAUUGGUGGCGCCUUGUUCCCCGCAGAGAAUGCGGCGGCCGACUCUGCUGCCGCUGGUGUUAGUGGUGCUUCGCACGGUUCCGCGGGGCGCAACGGCAGAGAGAGCGACUACCGCAGCACUGUGUCUCGCGCGUCGCCGACUUCGACGGCCAGCGGUAACCGCAGCCACACUCACUCAAGACCUAGCCAGCAUGCGGGAGGCACCGGCGCGGCUACGAUGCCGAGCUGGCGAGGUGGAAGCGCCACGGAUGUCGCCAUCGAGCAAGUCGAUUAGCACGUGAUUUGACAAGCGACGCUGUGUGUGUGUGUGUGUGUGUGAUGUGCGUGCGGCCCUGUGCAUCGCUGCGCGUGUGCCUGCGUCGCGCAUGAUUGCUUUUCGGGCUUUCCUCUUUAAGUUUCUCGUGGCCGGGGGAGGGGAGUCUUGUGUGCCCCGCAUCGUCUUCGACAAGGCAUGAAGGAGCAGCAUCAUGUCUUGCCCCCCCCCUCCUGCGCCCCCUCCUUCAUCCUCAUCUUCGGACAUGUGCCUCCGCCGCUACCUGGCAGCCUUCCAUGCGUACUUGCUUGCACCCCAACCCAGCGCGAGAGAGGAGAAAGACUAUGUCACCGACAGCUGCGUCAGCGGCUGCGGCGGCGGCUUCGAACGCUUCGGUUCAGGAUAGACACACAAGGUGGUUGCAGUGUGGGGGAAAGGAGGGGGUGUUCGCAUGCUCGCCUGAACUCGUGUGAGAGUUGAAAAGUGAGCUCGCAGUGGCCUCACUGUCCGCAGCGGCGCCUCCUCCCAUGCCCUCCUCUGUUCGUUGUUCUCGCUCUCCGUAACCGCGAUUCUUCUUUGGCCCCUCCCCAACCCCCUGUCCGUGCCUCCACGAACACACACACAG
This 2571-nucleotide unclassified non-coding RNA is filed under the name Leishmania donovani. RNAcentral's name for it is "gene:LdHU3.04.1000(CDS-product:nascent_CDS_associ ated_complex_subunit-_like_protein_copy_2)". The record is from RNAcentral. Lineage: Eukaryota; Euglenozoa; Kinetoplastea; Trypanosomatida; Trypanosomatidae.